Molecule: ribosomal RNA, 113 nt
Filed under: uncultured bacterium
Lineage: Bacteria
Description: partial 16S ribosomal RNA
Rfam family: Bacterial small subunit ribosomal RNA
Source: RNAcentral
CGUUCCCGGGUCUUGUACACACCGCCCGUCACACCACGAGAGUUUGUAACACCCGAAGCCGGUGGGGUAACCUUUUGGAGCCAGCCGUCUAAGGUGGACAGAUGAUUGGGGUG